Molecule: long non-coding RNA, 4444 nt
Filed under: Olea europaea (common olive)
Lineage: Eukaryota; Viridiplantae; Streptophyta; Magnoliopsida; Lamiales; Oleaceae
Description: long non-coding RNA (OEUR_LNC004388)
Source: RNAcentral
UGUCUUCUAAUGUCAUUCCAUCUAGUUCUGUUCCAGCUAUUUGCUUGUUGAGGUUGUCUACAUAAGCCCUGUGAUGCUUUCCCCAGUGGUAUUCAAAUGUUUCAUGGCUCAUAUGAGGCUCCAAAGCAUCCUAAAUCAUACCCAUGGGUGUAAAGAGCAAAAGAUACUAGUAAAUAAUAUAAAACUGAUAUGGAAAGAUGUAUGAAUGCAUGGAGAUAAUUGAUAUGCGCAAUUUAGUUUUGUACUGAAACCGACGUAAAUGCUUUGGCAAGUCCCCACUUGUGGUUUCAAGUCAAUACCACUGUUUACUCAUCGAUAAGAAAAGUAGGAACUAACAAGUUUAAUCAGAGAUAAUCAGCAGAAAAGCUAAGAAGAUCAGCUUAUUUGGUUUGGGAGUCCAUAUACACAGAAUGACUUUAAAGAACCUAACAUUAUGUUUGGAGUAAUUUCAUAUAAGAUAUAUGAUUAUUAUCAAUUUCAAAUGACCAACGGUAUGGAAGCUAGGCUUGGUCAAUGUUAGAAUAUGAUUAACAUAUAUCCCCCGUAAGUAGACAAAUAUUACAAAAUUCAGUGAAGGGAGACAAGAAUUAAGAAGACAAUUCAGUGAUCUAACUGUCAUAAAAAUUGGCAUUUCUGUGGCCAUAUAUUCAUACUCAUCAACCCUAUAUGUUCAAAACUCCCAGAAUUCAAUUAGUCACACUUACUUAGAAAUUACACAAAUUGCAAAACAGAUCCAUCAAGAGGUUUAAGAUAAAGAUUCAAUAGGAAUUAGCAUGAAGAAGUGUGAUUAAACACAGCAAGCAAAAGUGUAAGCUUGCUUCUAUCAAAAUUAAGCUGAAUGCCAGAAUAUGUAAUAUCACGACCCUCUCAAGAAUGUAUAUCUUAAUUAUGGUCAGUGUUUUUCUUUUUUUUGGCCAAGAGGACCUGAAGUUUCUAUCCAAGGGCAAAAAGCGUAAAUCUUCACUAAUCCGAUUUAAGUGUUUAAUCAGGGCAUCAAAAUCUUAUGCUCUAGGAGUGGCCUAGAUUCAAUUUAUUUUAAUUAUUUUAAUUUAGCCUUAAACCAGAUUCAAUUUUCAUCAAAAGCCUUGCAAUUGAACAACUUUCAUAAAUGGGUGGCAGUGAUAGAUAAAAGCUUAGGCUUAAGCUAAGAAAGGGGCCAUAAUUAUUUAAUUAUAUGUAGGAUUCAAUAUUAAUAAGACGAAGUAAAUCUAAACAAUGCAAGAUAUCCCCAAAAAAAUGAUUAAAAAAUCACAUAGGAAGCAGUCUGAGUACUUUACAGGUCUUACCAGUUGGUAUGGUGGGGGUUUUAGGUCAAAUUUGGCUGUUAUUACACCAUGGCCAGCUUUCCUUGCACACUGUCUCUGCAAUGCAAAUACUCAAAAAGCCUUGUAUCACUUACAAACAAUCAUCAAAUUUGGGUUCAAAAUUAACUUUGGCAUCCUAGAUAGAAAUCAACAGACUAAAUAAGAAUUAUAAUAUCAUUAUCCGUAAUAAAUCACAUAAAAAAAGCACGAAACAUUUACAGUCUCACAUUGACAUUUCAUCAAACACCAGUGAUGCAGUCCACUUAGAAAAUCAUUCUCUUCAUCAACUCAAUAAAGAAAGUAUUUUCUUUUCAAAAUUCCUUAUAAGAAACACUAUAACCCCCCGGACUGCCGAGUACACAAAGUGCAAACCUCAUUUUUUCUCCACUGCAAGCGUCGAGUCGACCCCUGAAAUCCUGCACCAUAGAUCAGAUAUCAGUGCACAAUUUAUCACAAAAUACUCAACUAAUUAGCGGGACUCCAUUUAUAUCAUCCGAUUACAACCUUGACAGGGAAACAAUGCGCAUUUCAAUGGAGCAGCAAUGCCUGUUACUGCAUUUGCCACCAUCUUAUCUUACAAGAACCGUCUGAAGUUUUCGGAUGAGAAGGAGAGCGAGAGGGAGACACGUGACAACUUUCUUUACUGCGAAGCGUGUGGCAACCUUAAGACAUGUUUUAUGACCUCAUUACAAAUAAUAUGAUUUUUCUGCGGAGCGUGUGGUGACCUUACGACAUGUUUUAUGACCUUAUUACAAUAUGAUUUUAGAGCCCAAAUAAUUUCCGAAGUGAGAUAUUUAUAAGAGAACUUAUUUCGUAAAUCAAAUUAUUUAUAAGUAAGAUAUUUUCUUGAAUUUGAUUUAUGUUCUUUUGAUCGAAUAACUAAUAUCAAAUCAUAAAGAUUAAACAUUUCGAAAAUUAUCUGUAAAAACUAAUUAAUAAGAUGGGAAGGUCACCAGUUGUUAUAUUCAUAAGAUUUUUACAUUAGUUGGAUUUUCAUAUAAAACGUUCCUUAGUCCUUUUAAGUAUUGUUUGAUUUAGUUAAAAGUUGAUAAAAAUUUAAGUUAAAGUCGAGGAUUAAUUUUAACAAUACAUUUUAUGGAAUUCACAACUUUUUAUCAAAAUUUGAUUUUGUUAAAACAAAACAUGCGCUUAAUUUCAUAUAUUGAAAGAAGUGAUUUUCAAAAUUUAAUAAAUAUUUUAUUAUAUAAGAAAGAACUAAGAAGUGUCAUUUUCUAAAGUUAAUAAUGUUAUAGUGAUAUAAUCAUCGACUCUCUAUUUGUGAGUUCCUGUCAAGGAGGCUGACGAAGGCCCUAUUUUUUUUUUUUUAAGCAAAAUUCCAAUAUAGUGAGUGGUUGGCACUACGUGCAAUGUGGUACCAUUACUCUGUGUAGUACAAAUUUGUGACUAAAACUUGUAAGAUAGGAUAUAGCCCUCGUUUUUUAAGGAUUAAAAUUAAAUUUUUUAAUAAAUUUUAAUAAAAGUUGAUCGUUAAAAAAUUGUGAAUUUCAUAAAACACAUUAUUAAAAUUAAUUAUUAAUUCAAAAUUGAAUUAAAAUCAUAAUUUCAAUCCCCAUGAACAUAAACAUAGUUCACAACAAAACCAGGAUGAUCAUUCAUCGACCAUGGAUAGCUCAACCGUGAGAGUAUGAACAAGAUUCAACAAUUAUUUGAAUUUUAUUUUUUUUAAUACUCAAGAGCUUGAUUCAUACAAUCCAUGCAUUAACGCUAUUAAAAACGUAAUAGAAAUUUAUCACAAAAAGUUCUUUAUUCCCUUAUUGACCACACAUUCCAUACAUUCACGCUGUUCAAAACAUAACUAGAAAAACAUGACUGAUAGAGCUAUGAUCCUACCCAGAGAAACAAAUCAACCACAGGUUCAUCGCUUUCAAACUACAUUACUAAUGCUUCAGAAUUUGAUGUUCCAUUAUUCUUCCAGCCUCCUUUUUAUUCGCCUGGUUCUUCUCUUUCCCCCUAAGCAGCACCAGCCUUAGCAGAUUCAAGUCUCGAACUGACUGAGUCCCAAGAAACAAGAUUCUCCAUGAAGAUCGAUAUAUAAUCUGGCCUCCGGUUCUGUAAAUGAAGGCAUGGUAGGUUAUUGAAACGUGUGAGAAAGGAUGCAUCACAAAUAUGAAGAAAAUCACUACUGACCUGAUAAUCGAGGUAGUAAGCGUGCUGUAUAUUGGAAAAAAAAAAAAUUAAAUAAGAAGACAAAGUAAAUAAAACAUGAAAAUCAGUUACAUGUCAUCGUCUCAAGGAAUGAACUACAGAAAAUUUCUGAUUGAUUACCUCCCAAACGUCUACUGUAAGUAGCGGCUGCAACAAAUGAGCAAUACAAUGACAUGAGAUUGUCAGAUAAUAAGAACAAUUACACCGAAAAACAAGAAAGAGCGAGAUGAUAACACCAAAUUCAAUACAAUGUAUUAUUAAAAUGGAAACAUGAAAGACACUAAGAUACUCACAACUUGAUCCAAGACAAGAGGAUUCACGGCAUUGGGACUCUGCACCACAGCAAGUUUUUUGUCCUUGUCCUUGUCUAGAUGGAAAAUAAUAAAAAGGGGUGUCGAUUUUUCAUGUUUAGAUAGAUAUAUUUAAAAGCAAAAUAGGGAUAGAAAGGCUUACACACAAGCCACGCCCAACCAGAACCAAAUUGUGUUGCUGCAGCUGUCUUGAACUCUUUGGCAAAAUCUUCAAAAGAACCAAAGUCCCUGUUGAUUAAAUCUAAAAUUUCUCCAGAUGGUUUUCCUCCACCACCUGGUUUCAUGGACUCCCAGAAGAAAUCGUGAUUCCAGACCUGUAAAUGUGUAAAACGACAUGUGAAUUCUAUGAAUAAAGGUGCAGAGUUCUGCGGUCGAGACAUAAAAAUAUACCUGAGCAGCAUUGUUAAAGGGUGGAAGGAGAUUUCCGCUGUUAUAUGUAGCAACGAUUACAUCUUCUAGUGUCUUUCCGGUGAGUUCUGUUCCGGCUAUUUGCUUGUUGAGGUUGUCUACAUAAGCCCUGUGAUGCUUUCCCCAAUGGUAUUCAAAUGUUGAACGGCUCAUAUGAGGCUCCAAAGCAUCCUAAAUCAUAUUCCAUAAUCCAUCAUUGUGAAUAGCGUAAAUUAAUUACACAAAUUGCACUACCAAGAGAGGCUUAUGAUAAAG